This 236-nucleotide ribosomal RNA is filed under the name uncultured bacterium. RNAcentral's name for it is "partial 16S ribosomal RNA". It matches the Rfam family "Bacterial small subunit ribosomal RNA", at positions 100 to 334 of the family's 1533-position model. The record is from RNAcentral.
CGGCACGGGUGAGUAACACGUAUCCAACCUGCCGUCUACUCUUGGACAGCCUUCUGAAAGGAAGAUUAAUACAAGAUGGCAUCAUGAGUUCACAUGUUCACAUGAUUAAAGGUAUUCCGGUAGACGAUGGGGAUGCGUUCCAUUAGAUAGUAGGCGGGGUAACGACCCACCUAGUCUUCGAUGGAUAGGGGUUCUGAGAGGAAGGUCCCCCACAUUGGAACUGAGACACGGUCCAA